Molecule: long non-coding RNA, 776 nt
Filed under: Triticum aestivum (bread wheat)
Lineage: Eukaryota; Viridiplantae; Streptophyta; Magnoliopsida; Poales; Poaceae
Description: long non-coding RNA (TAES_LNC000851)
Source: RNAcentral
AAAAUAUCCCAGCCCUGGUAAAAUCUAGUCCUUAGAAAUCACUACCCACAGCUAUUUAGCCCCGGAAUAAUAUGCUUGGUAGAACAUACUAAGAAUAAGAUGUGAGGUCUUAAAGAGCUCAAUGGAAAAACAUUGCAAGAUGCAAGAUCGACGACGCUUCAAUUUAUUCACGAAACAACAUAUCACAACUCAUAUCGAAGAGAGUGCACGCCUGUGCAUUAUUCAUGACCACAACCCACUAACCCUCGCAAAAAGAAACCCGACUUAGUAGUAACAGUUCAACUCUUGGCGUGAAAACAGCUACUCACAAGGCAGAGAUCAUCCGCUGGUAAUCGAACGACGCCAUUUUUUAUUUCUUUUGCCAUAGUGGAACGACGAGAUCUUUAAUUAGUUGCCGGUGACCGCGAUGUUCCACUUUGGAUAAAGCACCGUAGUGAUGUACUCCUCCAGCUUGUCGACCCCAGGCCUGCUGCUGGAUCGGCUUGGCGACGCUGAACCGCUCCGCCCACGCAGCUAGUUUCGGCGUCCUCGCCAGGUCGAUGAGCGGCCCCAAGCCGGCCAGGCGGCCUACUGCCUCAAACCAAGGAAGAUAGCACCCGAGCGCGAUGUCGAGGAACCCGAUGGAGCCACCACCGAAGAACGGCGCCUCCACCUCCCCUUUGGAGCACUCUGCCAAGGCAGCUUCCAAGUGUCGGAGCCCGGACAGGGUCUCCUCCACCUUACCGCCUCUCUCCUCCUACUUUGCUGUCUUGAGGAUCCCGGUGCACGAAGGGAAC